UGCUGUGAUGGUGUAAUUUGCGUCCUACUCCAUGUACAGCGACAGUUGCCUGCUGUCUCAUGCUUGCGUGGCAGGUUGACGAAUUCAAAGUCUGAGCA
This is a small nucleolar RNA of Triplophysa rosa, 98 nucleotides long. RefSeq annotates it as small nucleolar RNA SNORD16. The transcript has a single exon. Lineage: Eukaryota; Metazoa; Chordata; Actinopteri; Cypriniformes; Nemacheilidae. The record is from RefSeq and is a predicted model, not a curated record.